This 465-nucleotide ribosomal RNA is filed under the name Vreelandella stevensii. RNAcentral's name for it is "partial 16S ribosomal RNA". It matches the Rfam family "Bacterial small subunit ribosomal RNA", at positions 338 to 795 of the family's 1533-position model. Lineage: Bacteria; Pseudomonadati; Pseudomonadota; Gammaproteobacteria; Oceanospirillales; Halomonadaceae. The record is from RNAcentral.
CCUACGGGAGGCUGCAGUGGGGAAUAUUGGACAAUGGGGGGAACCCUGAUCCAGCCAUGCCGCGUGUGUGAAGAAGGCCCUCGGGUUGUAAAGCACUUUCAGUGAGGAAGAACGCCUGGUGGUUAAUACCCAUCAGGAAAGACAUCACUCACAGAAGAAGCACCGGCUAACUCCGUGCCAGCGGCCGCGGUAAUACGGAGGGUGCGAGCGUUAAUCGGAAUUACUGGGCGUAAAGCGCGCGUAGGUGGCUUGAUAAGCCGGUUGUGAAAGCCCCGGGCUCAACCUGGGAACGGCAUCCGGAACUGUCAAGCUAGAGUGCAGGAGAGGAAGGUAGAAUUCCCGGUGUAGCGGUGAAAUGCGUAGAGAUCGGGAGGAAUACCAGUGGCGAAGGCGGCCUUCUGGACUGACACUGACACUGAGGUGCGAAAGCGUGGGUAGCAAACAGGAUUAGAUACCCUUGUAGUC